This 514-nucleotide ribosomal RNA is filed under the name uncultured bacterium. Its description in RNAcentral is "bacterial SSU rRNA". It matches the Rfam family "Bacterial small subunit ribosomal RNA", at positions 369 to 896 of the family's 1533-position model. The record is from RNAcentral.
CAAUGGGCGAAAGCCUGACCCAGCAACGCCGCGUGGGUGAUGAAGGCCCUCGGGUCGUAAAGCCCUUUUCCCAGGGAAGAUGGAGUGACGGUACCUGGGGGAAUCAGCCCCGGCUAACUACGUGCCAGCAGCCGCGGUAAUACGUAGGGGGCAAGCGUUGUCCGGAUUUAUUGGGCGUAAAGCGCUCGCAGGUGGUUCGAUGCGUCGUGCGUGAAAGACCCUGGCUCAACUGGGGGGUGUCGUGCGAUACGGUCGGACUGGAGGCCAGUAGGGGGAUGCGGAAUUCCGGGUGUAGUGGUGGAAUGCGUAGAGAUCCGGAGGAACACCAGCGGCGAAGGCGGCAUCCUGGACUGGUCCUGACACUCAGGAGCGAAAGCGUGGGGAGCGAUCCGGAUUAGAUACCCGGGUAGUCCACGCUGUAAACGAUGAGCACUAGGUGUCGGGGGUAUCGACCCCCUCGGUGCCGCAGCUAACGCGAUAAGUGCUCCGCCUGGGGACUACGGCCGCAAGGCUA